AGUGAACGCUGGCGGUAGGCCUAACACAUGCAAGUCGAACGGCAGCACAGUAAGAGCUUGCUCUUACGGGUGGCGAGUGGCGGACGGGGGAGGAAUACAUCGGAAUCUACUUUUUCGUGGGGGAUAAAGUAGGGAAACUUACGCUAAUACCGCAUACGACCUACGGGUGAAAGCAGGGGAUCUUCGGACUUUGCGCGAUUGAAUGAGCCGAUGUCGGGUUAGCUAGUUGGCGGGGUAAAGGCGCACCAAGGGGACGGUCCGUAGCUGGUCUGAGAGGAUGAUGACCCACACUGGGGGUGAGACACGGUCCAGACUCCGACAGGAGGCAGAGGUGGGGAAUAUUGGACGAUGGGCGCAAGCCUGAUCCAGCCAUACCGCGUGGGUGAAGAAGGCCUUCGGGUUGUAAAGCCCUUUUGUUGGGAAAGAAAAGCAGCAGGUUAAUACCCCGCUGUUCUGACGGUACCCAAAGAAUAAGCACCGGCUAACUUCGUG
This 492-nucleotide ribosomal RNA is filed under the name uncultured bacterium. RNAcentral describes it as "partial 16S ribosomal RNA". It matches the Rfam family "Bacterial small subunit ribosomal RNA", at positions 29 to 507 of the family's 1533-position model. The record is from RNAcentral.